CCUACGGGAGGCAGCAGUGAGGAAUAUUGGUCAAUGGGCGCGAGCCUGAACCAGCCAAGUCGCGUGAGGGAAGACGGUCCUAUGGAUUGUAAACCUCUUUUGUCGGGGAGCAAAAGACGCCACGCGUGGCGUUCCGAGUGUACCCGAAGAAAAAGCAUCGGCUCACUCCGUGCCAGCUGCCGCGGUAAUACGGAGGAUGCGAGCGUUAUCCGGAUUUAUUGGGUUUAAAGGGUGCGCAGGCGGAAGAUAAAGUCAGAGGUAAAAUUGAGAGGCUCAACCUCUUCGAGCCGUUGAAACUGGUUUUCUUGAGUGAGUGAGAAGUAUGCGGAAUGCGUGGUGUAGCGGUGAAAUGCAUAGAUAUCACGCAGAACUCCGAUUGCGAAGGCAGCAUACCGGCGCUCAACUGACGCUCAUGCACGAAAGUGUGGGUAGCGAACAGGAUUAGAUACCCCUGUAGUC
RNAcentral lists this ribosomal RNA (459 nucleotides) under uncultured bacterium. Its description in RNAcentral is "partial 16S ribosomal RNA". It matches the Rfam family "Bacterial small subunit ribosomal RNA", at positions 338 to 795 of the family's 1533-position model. The record is from RNAcentral.